UAUUGCACAGUGGGCGCAAGCCUGAUGCAGCCAUGCCGCGUGUGUGAAGAAGGCCUUCGGGUUGUAAAGCACUUUCAGUCAGGAGGAAAGGUUAGUAGUUAAUACCUGCUAGCUGUGACGUUACUGACAGAAGAAGCACCGGCUAACUCCGUGCCAGCAGCCGCGGUAAUACGGAGGGUGCGAGCGUUAAUCGGAAUUACUGGGCGUAAAGCGUACGCAGGCGGUUUGUUAAGCGAGAUGUGAAAGCCCCGGGCUCAACCUGGGAACUGCAUUUCGAACUGGCAAACUAGAGUGUGAUAGAGGGUGGUAGAAUUUCAGGUGUAGCGGUGAAAUGCGUAGAGAUCUGAAGGAAUACCGAUGGCGAAGGCAGCCACCUGGGUCAACACUGACGCUCAUUACGAAA
Molecule: ribosomal RNA, 403 nt
Filed under: uncultured bacterium
Lineage: Bacteria
Description: bacterial SSU rRNA
Rfam family: Bacterial small subunit ribosomal RNA
Source: RNAcentral